Molecule: ribosomal RNA, 1158 nt
Filed under: Latilactobacillus sakei
Lineage: Bacteria; Bacillati; Bacillota; Bacilli; Lactobacillales; Lactobacillaceae
Description: bacterial SSU rRNA
Rfam family: Bacterial small subunit ribosomal RNA
Source: RNAcentral
CAUAGCGGUGUGUGACGUUUGAAGGAGCUUGCUCCUGAUUGAUAAACAUUUGAGUGAGUGGCGGACGGGUGAGUAACACGUGGGUAACCUGCCCUAAAGUGGGGGAUAACAUUUGGAAACAGAUGCUAAUACCGCAUAAAACCUAACACCGCAUGGUGUAGGGUUGAAAGAUGGUUUCGGCUAUCACUUUAGGAUGGACCCGCGGUGCAUUAGUUAGUUGGUGAGGUAAAGGCUCACCAAGACCGUGAUGCAUAGCCGACCUGAGAGGGUAAUCGGCCACACUGGGACUGAGACACGGCCCAGACUCCUACGGGAGGCAGCAGUAGGGAAUCUUCCACAAUGGACGAAAGUCUGAUGGAGCAACGCCGCGUGAGUGAAGAAGGUUUUCGGAUCGUAAAACUCUGUUGUUGGAGAAGAAUGUAUCUGAUAGUAACUGAUCAGGUAGUGACGGUAUCCAACCAGAAAGCCACGGCUAACUACGUGCCAGCAGCCGCGGUAAUACGUAGGUGGCAAGCGUUGUCCGGAUUUAUUGGGCGUAAAGCGAGCGCAGGCGGUUUCUUAAGUCUGAUGUGAAAGCCUUCGGCUCAACCGAAGAAGUGCAUCGGAAACUGGGAAACUUGAGUGCAGAAGAGGACAGUGGAACUCCAUGUGUAGCGGUGAAAUGCGUAGAUAUAUGGAAGAACACCAGUGGCGAAGGCGGCUGUCUGGUCUGUAACUGACGCUGAGGCUCGAAAGCAUGGGUAGCAAACAGGAUUAGAUACCCUGGUAGUCCAUGCCGUAAACGAUGAGUGCUAGGUGUUGGAGGGUUUCCGCCCUUCAGUGCCGCAGCUAACGCAUUAAGCACUCCGCCCGGGGAGUACGACCGCAAGGUUGAAACUCAAAGGAAUUGACGGGGGCCCGCACAAGCGGUGGAGCAUGUGGUUUAAUUCGAAGCAACGCGAAGAACCUUACCAGGUCUUGACAUCCUUUGACCACUCUAGAGAUAGAGCUUUCCCUUCGGGGACAAAGUGACAGGUGGGUGCAUGGUUGUCGUCAGCUCGUGUCGUGAGAAGUUGGGGUUAAGUCCCGCAACGAGCGCAACCCUUAUUACUAGUUGCCAGCAUUAAGUUGGGCACUCUAGUGAAACUGCCGGUGACAAACCGGGAGGAAAGGUGGGGG